AUUGAACGCUGGCGGCAGGCCUAACACAUGCAAGUCGAGCGGAUGAAGGGAGCUUGCUCCUGGAUUCAGCGGCGGACGGGUGAGUAAUGCCUAGGAAUCUGCCUUGUAGCGGGGGAUAACGUCCGGAAACGGGCGCUAAUACCGCAUACGUCCUGAGGGAGAAAGUGGGGGAUCUUCGGACCUCACGCUAUCAGAUGAGCCUAGGUCGGAUUAGCUAGUUGGUGGGGUAAAGGCCUACCAAGGCGACGAUCCGUAACUGGUCUGAGAGGAUGAUCAGUCACACUGGAACUGAGACACGGUCCAGACUCCUACGGGAGGCAGCAGUGGGGAAUAUUGGACAAUGGGCGAAAGCCUGAUCCAGCCAUGCCGCGUGUGUGAAGAAGGUCUUCGGAUUGUAAAGCACUUUAAGUUGGGAGGAAGGGCAGUAAGUUAAUACCUUGCUGUUUUGACGUUACCAACAGAAUAAGCACCGGCUAACUUCGUG
RNAcentral lists this ribosomal RNA (484 nucleotides) under uncultured bacterium. RNAcentral describes it as "partial 16S ribosomal RNA". It matches the Rfam family "Bacterial small subunit ribosomal RNA", at positions 30 to 507 of the family's 1533-position model. The record is from RNAcentral.